Vicia villosa (hairy vetch) is the source of this 1957-nucleotide long non-coding RNA. RefSeq lists it as uncharacterized. The record is from RefSeq and is a predicted model, not a curated record. The transcript has 3 exons. NCBI's taxonomy places the organism in Eukaryota, Viridiplantae, Streptophyta, Magnoliopsida, Fabales, Fabaceae.
AUUUCAAUUUCCUCUCUCUCAUUCUCACUCUUGCUUUCUCUCAUUCUCUCCCCGGAACUGUUUCACUCUUCUUCUCCCUCUUCUUCUUUCUCCUCUUCUUCCUCCUUCUUCUUCUUUACAAAACAUAAUGAUACUCUCUGUAACACUUUGAUAACAAAGCCCUAAUCAAAGUCGAUAACGAUGCACGGAAUCGGGCUUCAGAAAUCCUAUAAAAUAAAGAUUCACAAAAUUAGGGUUUCGGAAAAGCGUCAGAUGCUCUGAAUCAUGGACUUGAGUUACAUGAUUUAGCUGUUUGCAGGUUUUUGGAUUUAGAAGUUUGAUGUUGUCUUCUCUAAAGCUAAAAGUUAAUAAUAGAAAAGAUGAUGGCAACAGUUCACAGGAAAAUCUGCCAAACGAUAUUUCUACUUCUGUUUUUCGUUUCUGUUUCAGUUGUGAAAUAUAUUGGCUGUGUAGUACAAUAACUGCUUUCUGUUGCUGUUGUGUUGAUGAGUUUUUUCUAAAAUAGGCUUAACUUUGUUUUGAUGUACUGGUUUAUGUUGUGUUCAUCUACAUCAUAUAUAUUGUACUGUUGUUUUCUGUUUUGUAAAUAACUUAAAAUGCAAUAACGAGUGGAGAUUCAAAUGAAGAAGGAAGAGCAGUGGACAAGAAGAGUAGUGGAUUUUCAAGAGGUGUUUCUGUGUAUAGAGGUGUGACAAGUGUUUAUCUUUUUCUUCUUGUCUCAAUUUUUCAGACACCAUCAACAUGGAAGGUGGUAGGCUCGAAUCGGACGGGUUGUGGGAAACAAAGACUUGUAUCUUAAUACAUUUAGUUUAUAUGUCAGUUUGAACAAAGAUUAGACUGUAUAUCAGCAUGCUUGUCUGAGCUGGAAUGAUGGAUAAUUGGUUUUGUCAAAAACGCUGGCGGAGUCGGAAAUUGCGGAAGUGGAGAAUCAGUAGCUAUAGAUGUUGCUGUAGUUUUGGGGAGUUUAGUUUUUUUCUAAGAUGCUGUCUUCUUGUGCGACUGUUUCCGGUGAUGUGUUGAUUCUGUCGAGAGCCAUGGUGUAAUGUUUUCGCAUGUAUUGGUGCAUUCUGUAUGCAAGAGGUAUGGAGAAUUAGUAGCUAUAGAUAUUGCCGGAGUAAUCGUAGAGUUGCGUCUUCGGCGCCAUCCGAGCAAGCUACGGGUCUGGUGUAUGUUAUUUUAUGGGUUUUGAGUAUAGGCUACGUAUGGUUCUGUCUGUCAUGGGUUAUGGUUUAGUUUUGGUACUGUCAUGAUUUUGUUGUUUGGAUUGGUGUAGUUGUAGAAUUGUGCAUUUGUGAAAAGGAUGAUUAGGAAAAGGAUGAUUCCAAUCUGUUGUUUUUCUUUAAUUUUCCCAAUGGGUAUUUCAGUAGACUCGAAAGGAAUAAAUUUUUCCUUGCCAUUCUUCUAUUGCUUUUUAAAUUGAGACCAUAUCCUUCUUUUGACUAUAAUUUUGUCCUCCAAGUUAUUAUAAUUUUAAUUCUUUUUCUUAUUGUCUGACACUUUGACUAUAAUCUUUGGUUUUUUAACGUUAAUGUUAUGACUUUUGUGAAACAUGUAAUUAAUCUCAGUUUUCUAAAUAUUGUCACGUAUCAUGUGAUAUUAUUCUCAUUAACAUGGAUUACUGUUUUUUUUUGUCCCUUUAAUAUUUAUAUGCAUCUUUUACAUAUUGUUUUUGAAGUAUAUUACAUACCACUUUGUUAACAAAAUAUAUCAAUCACCAUUUAUAAAAUAACAUUUUUAAUUUUAUUGUAUAUAUUUCAAUUUGACUGCAAUGUUUCAGAUCACUUGAGUUUCUCAUUAUUUAAAAUCAUUUGUCUCUCCCAUCUCAUUUACUUUAAGUUAUUGUCCAUUUGUUUUUAAGUUGCUUCUUUAUUUGGUUUAAUAUAAUUUAUUUGUUUGAAAACGUAAAAUCAUUCAUAUGUGGCAUAUGCUUAAGAACCUAUUUGCUGGUCUAUGUCAU